RNAcentral lists this ribosomal RNA (484 nucleotides) under uncultured bacterium. RNAcentral describes it as "partial 16S ribosomal RNA". It matches the Rfam family "Bacterial small subunit ribosomal RNA", at positions 30 to 507 of the family's 1533-position model. The record is from RNAcentral.
AUUGAACGCUGGCGGCAGGCCUAACACAUGCAAGUCGAGCGGAUGAAGGGAGCUUGCUCCUGGAUUCAGCGGCGGACGGGUGAGUAAUGCCUAGGAAUCUGCCUGGUAGUGGGGGAUAACGUCCGGAAACGGGCGCUAAUACCGCAUACGGCCUGAGGGAGAAAGUGGGGGAUCUUCGGACCUCACGCUAUCAGAUGAGCCUAGGUCGGAUUAGCUAGUUGGUGGGGUAAAGGCCUACCAAGGCGACGAUCCGUAACUGGUCUGAGAGGAUGAUCAGUCACACUGGAACUGAGACACGGUCCAGACUCCUACGGGAGGCAGCAGUGGGGAAUAUUGGACCAUGGGCGAAAGCCUGAUCCAGCCAUGCCGCGUGUGUGAAGAAGGUCUUCGGAUUGUAAAGCACUUUAAGUUGGGAGGAAGGGCAGUAAGUUAAUACCUUGCUGUUUUGACGUUACCAACAGAAUAAGCACCGGCUAACUUCGUG